This 253-nucleotide ribosomal RNA is filed under the name uncultured bacterium. RNAcentral describes it as "partial 16S ribosomal RNA". It matches the Rfam family "Bacterial small subunit ribosomal RNA", at positions 524 to 776 of the family's 1533-position model. The record is from RNAcentral.
GACGAACCGAGCGAACGUUGUUCGGAAUCACUGGGCUUAAAGGGCGCGUAGGCGGGCCGCCAAGUCCGUGGUGAAAUCCCCCGGCUCAACCGGGGAAGUGCCUCGGAUACUGGCGGCCUCGAGGGGGGUAGGGGCGUGCGGAACUUCCGGUGGAGCGGUGAAAUGCGUAGAUAUCGGAAGGAACACCGGUGGCGAAAGCGGCGCGCUGGACCCCAUCUGACGCUGAGGCGCGAAAGCCAGGGGAGCAAACGGG